Molecule: ribosomal RNA, 497 nt
Filed under: uncultured bacterium
Lineage: Bacteria
Description: partial 16S ribosomal RNA
Rfam family: Bacterial small subunit ribosomal RNA
Source: RNAcentral
GAUGAACGCUGGCGGCGUGCCUAAUACAUGCAAGUCGAGCGAACGGACGAGAAGCUUGCUUCUCUGAUGUUAGCGGCGGACGGGUGAGUAACACGUGGAUAACCUACCUAUAAGACUGGGAUAACUUCGGGAAACCGGAGCUAAUACCGGAUAAUAUGUUGAACCGCAUGGUUCAAAAGUGAAAGACGGUCUUGCUGUCACUUAUAGAUGGAUCCGCGCUGCAUUAGCUAGUUGGUAAGGUAACGGCUUACCAAGGCAACGAUGCAUAGCCGACCUGAGAGGGUGAUCAGCCACACUGGAACUGAGACACGGUCCAGACUCCUACGGGAGGCAGCAGUAGGGAAUCUUCCGCAAUGGGCGAAAGCCUGACGGAGCAACGCCGCGUGAGUGAUGAAGGUCUUCGGAUCGUAAAACUCUGUUAUUAGGGAAGAACAUAUGUGUAAGUAACUGUGCACAUCUUGACGGUACCUACUCAGAAAGCCACGGCUAACUACGUG